UACGUAGGGGGCAAGCGUUGUCCGGAUUUAUUGGGCGUAAAGAGCGUGUAGGCGGCUGGGUAGGUCCGUUGUGAAAACUGGAGGCUCAACCUUCAGAGGUCGACCGAAACCAUCUGGCUAGAGUCCGGGAGAGGAGAGUGGAAUUCCUGGUGUAGCGGUGAAAUGCGCAGAUAUCAGGAGGAACACCAGCGGCGAAGGCGGCGCUCUGGGCCGGAACUGACGCUGAGGAGCGAAAGCGUGGGUAGCAAACAGG
RNAcentral lists this ribosomal RNA (253 nucleotides) under uncultured bacterium. RNAcentral describes it as "partial 16S ribosomal RNA". It matches the Rfam family "Bacterial small subunit ribosomal RNA", at positions 524 to 776 of the family's 1533-position model. The record is from RNAcentral.